GACGAACGCUGGCGGCGUGCUUAACACAUGCAAGUCGAACGGAAAGGCCCCUUUGGGGGUACUCGAGUGGCGAACGGGUGAGUAACACGUGAGUAACCUGCCCUUGACUUCGGGAUAACUUCAGGAAACUGGGGCUAAUACCGGAUAGGAAUCCUUGCUGCAUGGUGGGGGUUGGAAAGCUUCGGCGGUUUUGGAUGGACUCGCGGCUUAUCAGCUUGUUGGUGGGGUAGUGGCUUACCAAGGCUUUGACGGGUAGCCGGCCUGAGAGGGCGACCGGCCACAUUGGGACUGAGAUACGGCCCAGACUCCUACGGGAGGCAGCAGGGGGGAAUAUUGCACAAUGGGCGGAAGCCUGAUGCAGCAACGCCGCGUGCGGGAUGACGGCCCUCGGGUUGUAAACCGCUUUCAGCAGGGGCGAAGCUUGUGGUGACGGUACCUGCAGAAGAAGCACCGGCUAACUACGUG
This 465-nucleotide ribosomal RNA is filed under the name uncultured bacterium. Its description in RNAcentral is "partial 16S ribosomal RNA". It matches the Rfam family "Bacterial small subunit ribosomal RNA", at positions 28 to 507 of the family's 1533-position model. The record is from RNAcentral.